GCUGAUGUAGCCAAGUGGAUCAAGGUAAUGGAUUGUGAAUUCACCAUGCGCGGGUUAAAUCUUCGUCGUUCGUC
RNAcentral lists this transfer RNA (74 nucleotides) under Capsicum annuum. It matches the Rfam family "tRNA". Rfam says of the family: Transfer RNA (tRNA) molecules are approximately 80 nucleotides in length. Their secondary structure includes four short double-helical elements and three loops (D, anti-codon, and T loops). Further hydrogen bonds mediate the characteristic L-shaped molecular structure. tRNAs have two regions of fundamental functional importance: the anti-codon, which is responsible for specific mRNA codon recognition, and the 3' end, to which the tRNAs corresponding amino acid is attached (by aminoacyl-tRNA synthetases). tRNAs cope with the degeneracy of the genetic code in two manners: having more than one tRNA (with a specific anti-codon) for a particular amino acid; and 'wobble' base-pairing, i.e. permitting non-standard base-pairing at the 3rd anti-codon position. The record is from Rfam by way of RNAcentral. Lineage: Eukaryota; Viridiplantae; Streptophyta; Magnoliopsida; Solanales; Solanaceae.